AGUCUGUGGAGCUGAAUCUUCAUUCUUUAUUUGCUGACCUUCCUCGGAGACUUUUGGGUUGGGUUCUGAUUAGAAAAGUCUGGCAUCUAGUAUUCUUUAUUGAUUUAUAGUUGGCUAAUUAUUUCCAUGGCUAAAUGUGAAGUGGACGAAGUCUAAGAAAGCUGAUGUUGGCCUCCCACUCCUGAUCCUCCCUCUAGACACUCUCAUUCUAUCCCAUUGGUGAAAGUCUACCCUUGUUUGGAAAACAAGUUGUAAGGAAGUAACCCACCACCAAACUAUUUGUUAUUAA
RNAcentral lists this long non-coding RNA (289 nucleotides) under Homo sapiens (human). Its description in RNAcentral is "HSALNT0219678". Lineage: Eukaryota; Metazoa; Chordata; Mammalia; Primates; Hominidae. The record is from RNAcentral.